Molecule: ribosomal RNA, 450 nt
Filed under: uncultured bacterium
Lineage: Bacteria
Description: partial 16S ribosomal RNA
Rfam family: Bacterial small subunit ribosomal RNA
Source: RNAcentral
GUGGGGAAUAUUGGACAAUGGGGGGAACCCUGAUCCAGCCAUGCCGCGUGUGUGAAGAAGGCCUUCGGGUUGUAAACUGCUUUUGUACGGAACGAAACGGUCCGGGUUAAUACCCUGGGCUAAUGACGGUACCGUAAGAAUAAGCACCGGCUAACUACGUGCCAGCAGCCGCGGUAAUACGUAGGGUGCAAGCGUUAAUCGGAAUUACUGGGCGUAAAGCGUUCGCAGGCGGUUUUGUAAGACAGGCGUGAAAUCCCCGGGCUCAACCUGGGAAUUGCGCUUGUGACUGCAAGGCUGGAGUGCGGCAGAGGGGGAUGGAAUUCCGCGUGUAGCAGUGAAAUGCGUAGAUAUGCGGAGGAACACCGAUGGCGAAGGCAAUCCCCUGGGCCUGCACUGACGCUCAUGCACGAAAGCGUGGGGAGCAAACAGGAUUAGAUACCCCAGUAGUCC